This 207-nucleotide unclassified non-coding RNA is filed under the name plant metagenome. RNAcentral describes it as "partial contains small subunit ribosomal RNA, internal transcribed spacer 1, and 5.8S ribosomal RNA". The record is from RNAcentral.
UUUCCGUAGGUGAACCUGCGGAAGGAUCAUUCAUAAUAAGUGUUUUAUGGCACUUUUUUAAAUCCAUAUCCACCUUGUGUGCAAUGUCAGGGUUGGUCUCUUUUGAUCUGCCCCAAACAUCAACUAUUAUCUCAACUCUUUGUCUGAAAAAUAUUAUGAAUAAAACAAUUCAAAAUACAACUUUCAACAACGGAUCUCUUGGCUCUC